AGAAAUCAAAUAGCAGCUCCCAUGCAUUGGCACCGUCCACAGUGCCUGACCCUGUGCUAAAUGCUUUUCAGUCUUCAUUGUGCUUGAAUCCUCACAAUAAUCCUGCAAGACCCUUCCUGGAUAUGGUGUACCACGCGCUGGACAGCCCGGAUGAUGAUUACCAUGCCCUGUUCGUGCUCUGCCUCCUCUAUGCCAUGUCUCAUAAUAAAGGCAUGGAUCCUGAAAAAUUAGAGCGAAUCCAGCUCCCCGUGCCAAAUGCGGCCGAGAAGACCACCUACAACCACCCGCUGGCUGAAAGACUCAUCAGGAUCAUGAACAACGCUGCCCAGCCAGGUGCCCACUUGGGGUGUUGUCUGUCCACAGGGCCACGCAGUUGUAGGAAGCAGACCCCACUGGGAGCCUGAGCCCUGGGUGCUAGGCCUGAGCCUUCUGAGAAUCUGGGCCCAUCCCAACCUCUCCCUCUGCCUCUCAACCCCUGCAUCCUGGGCCAGCCCUCCUGCCUGCUGGGACUGUGUCUUUAGCUCUGGGUCUCCUUUUGCCAUCCCAUCCCCUGCCACUUGGUAACCAUCUUUCUUCUUCCACACCCCGCACUUCUUUUGCUGAGAUUGUCAAUGUUUGUCGCCCCCACCCCGCUAUGUCUGGGUAGCCCAAGGUAAUAUUAUGAGAAAGAACUAGGCUGACAGUGGAGUGAGGGGAGAACAUUCGAAGGUUUAACGGGCCAGUAGACGUAGGAGACAGAGUUUUGUUACCAGCAACAGUUGUGGGUAGGUAUGGAAACAGGUAGGAGUGAGAAUGCGCUUGGAGAAAAACUCACUUGGACUAGGCAGCUGAAGAGAGGUUACGCUAGUGCUGGGGCUGAGUGGGGUGGGGCCAGGAGAGCCGAUGGAGCCGAGACCACCCAGUCCCUGGUCAUCCCUGGGGCUUGUAUUAUGUUUGGGAAGACCUAUUUUUUGUGAUAGCGCUUUUUCUUUUCUUUUUCUUUUUCUUUUUUUUUGAGAUGGAGUCUUGCACUGUCACCUGGGCUGGAGUGUAAUGGAGUGAUCUCUGCUCACGGCAACCUCCGCCUCCCAGGUUCACGCGAUUCUCCUGCCUCAGCCUUCUGAGUAGCUGGGAUUACAGGUGCACACUACCACACCCAGCUAUUUUUUUGUAUUUUUAGUUGAGACAGGGUUUCACUAUGUUGGCCAGACUGGUCUCGAACUCCUGACCUCAUGAUCCACCCACCUCGGCCUCCCAAAGUGCUGGGAUUACAAGCUUGGGCCACUGCGCCCAGCCUGCUGUUUCAUUUUUUAGGCAGAUCCCCUUUUCUCACUUAUUUUCACCUGACUUACAAUACAUUAACAAAGGGACAGGCAGGGAGGUGGGCAGAGGGGUGUAUCUGCCUUUAGUUUUUUCCCAGUGACCUAUCGUGGUCUCUGAUGUUUCCAAGGCCUUAGAGGCAUAGCCUGAAGGCCUCCUCCUCUCCACAGUGGGACCUUUCACCAGAAAUAAACUUGAAAGACCCACAGAGGAGUUUGCAUAAGAGCAGUUGUCCUUCAGUCAGUCAGUUACAGAUGCUUCUAGGAGAGAUGCCAGAUGCGGGUUUUGGCUUUCUGAGCACCUGCAGUCUACCACUACCCAGCUAUGAGACCUUGGACAAGUCACUUCACUUUUCUAAGCCUCAAUCUUUCGAGCACUCAUUUCAAUAGGUUUUUAUAGAGAUUCCUUCAGGAGCUAUAUAAAGUGUUUGGCACUGUGCCUCGUUCACAGUAGUAAGUAAGUAAUAGCAUAGUAAGUAAGCUGUGUUAGAGCUCUCUUGGUCUUGACAGAAACCCGACUCACUCUGGCUUAAACAAUACAAGCAGACAAAGUUGUGCUAGCUUAUAAAGACUGCUGAGGCCUAGCUUCAGGCAAAGCUGGAUCCAGGGGCUCAAACAGUAUUUUUCUACCUUUGGCCUCUGCCACCUUCUGGGUUGACGAGAUAAAUGCCAGCCCCUCCAGCUAGCCCUUUCUCCACUGAGACUCUAGACUUACUCUACGGGAGACACUUAGAUUUGAACAGUCUAGUUGGAAGAGAGAUCUUGAAGUGAUAUUUGUAGAAUACUUUACAAAGAUUAAAAAUGCUGGCAAGGGUGAGGAGGUGGCCGAUAUAGAUUAUAAUGCUUGUGCCCCUCAGGGCGUCACCACGGUCCUCUGCUCAGCCCGGCACAAGGAGAAUUUCUCUUAACCCAGCAGUUCCAGCAGAUUGUGAGGUUGAGCCUUACUGGCUCUGACUGGCUCCCUUGCCUGGUUCUUACCUAGUCACUGGGACCAAGGGAAUAUGGAGCACCCCAACUGGCCAGGUGAUGUGCCCAACCCUGGAAGGGGGAAGGAGGAUCAGCUCCACCCAAAUCACAUGACCCAGAGUGGGACUGGCGGCUCUCUAAAGGAAGUGGGGGUGCAGGGCCACUUUCCAGGCCUCAACAGUGUUUAGUCACCCUCUUUUUCCUGCACCCUGUCAGUAAAGGGACUUCAGGGAAGUAUUUGGUAUAGGUAGUUUUGAUGGAGAACAUUGAAUUCUAACUGAUGGGGAAUGGUUUGGGCAUGGGGGGUUCUCACUGUGUCCCCACUGGAUGUUGGGAGCCAUGAGCAGUUGGUCUAUCAUCUGACCUGCUAGCCUCAACGUGGAUAGGCAGGAGUCUUGGGUUUAAGGGCGCCCCACCCUGGGUGUGCAAGGCUUACCCUGGUGUGCUCUGCAGAUGGGAAGAUCCGGCUGGCGACGCUGGAGCUGAGCUGCCUGCUUCUGAAGCAGCAAGUCCUGAUGAGUGCUGGCUGCAUCAUGAAGGACGUGCACCUGGCCUGCCUGGAGGGUGCAAGAGAAGAAAGUGUUCACCUUGUACGACAUUUUUAUAAGGGAGAAGACAUUUUUUUGGACAUGUUUGAAGAUGAGUAUAGGAGCAUGACAGUAAGUGAGGGGCUGGGACACACUUGGGCUGGCGUGCGCCUGUGUCCCUGCCAAGCUCCCCCCUGCCCAUCCCAGAGGGAGUUUUUUGACUUAGGGCUUUGUGACCAAAUAGCACAGAUUGAUGGGGAAGCAGAUUUAGAAUGGUGUCUUGUGAUCCCCACCACUGUUAAAAUUUCAGACUAUAUUCUCUCCCUCUAACAUGGGAGGUGUCCGAUGAAUCAGGAUGAUUCUCUGCUAUGAAUAGUAAUUUUGGGGACAGUAUCAUUUUAUUGAGGACUUACUCUGUGCUGGAUGUAUAUAGCAUGCUGUACAGAUUAUAUCUCUUCAUCCUCACACCAACCAACGGUAAUAGCUACUGCCAUUGUCCCUUUCUUGCUGAAUUAGUCUCUUCUCGUACUGCUAUGCAGAAAUACCCAAGACUGGGUAAUUUAUAAAGAAAAGAGGUUCAAUUGACUCACAGUUCCACAUUGCUGGAGAGGCCUCAGGAAACUUACGAUCAUGGUGGAAGGCACCUCUUCACAGGGUGACAGGAGAGAGAAUUAGUGCAAGGAGAAAAGAUGCCAGAUGCUUAGAAAACCAUCAGAUUUCAUGAGAACUUACUCACUAUCAUGAGAACAGUAUAAGGGAAACUGCCCCCAUGAUUCAGUUACCGCCACAUGGUUCUGCCCUUGACACGUGGGGAUUCUCAUGUGUCUCACCAUUCAAGGUGCGAUUUGGGUGGGGACACAGAGCCAAACCAUAUCACUUGCUAAUGAGGAAACUGAGUCAGAGAGGUCUAGUGAUGUACCCAAGUCUGCCUGGCCGGUGAGUGGCAGAGCCACGCUUCUAGAGGAGGACAGCCCAGCCCCCCAUCCCCCGUGCUUCUCCAUGUAUUAUGUCCCUGCCUCCCUGUUUGCUGCUCCACUGGAAUGUUUCACCAUGCAGCUCUCCCUCCAGUCUGUAGUGCCAGCACAUGGGCUUCCUUCCUCCUCCCGCAGGCAGAAUCGCGGGAAGCCAUAGGUUCAGAAGAUCCCAGCUUUCUCUGCUUUGCGCGUUUGUCUCUGUUAUCCCAGCACCUGCCCUUGGCUAGGUACUCCAUAAGUACGUGAUAAGUGAUCCUUCUUGUGGAUAUUACCCACCAAAGCAUGUGUGAUUUGGGAAGUUUAUAAUAAACCUAAGUGUUUUAAGUGUCAAAAAG
RNAcentral lists this small RNA (4100 nucleotides) under Pan troglodytes (chimpanzee). Its description in RNAcentral is "retained intron". Lineage: Eukaryota; Metazoa; Chordata; Mammalia; Primates; Hominidae. The record is from RNAcentral.